GCACUAGUAGCUCAAUGUCAGAGCCCCGGCCUUGUAAGUCGGCCAUCGGAGGUUAAAUUCCUCCCUAUCGCU
Molecule: transfer RNA, 72 nt
Filed under: Bythites fuscus (Arctic brotula)
Lineage: Eukaryota; Metazoa; Chordata; Actinopteri; Ophidiiformes; Bythitidae
Description: tRNA-Thr
Rfam family: tRNA
About the family: Transfer RNA (tRNA) molecules are approximately 80 nucleotides in length.
Source: RNAcentral